UUUUUAAUAUAUUUUUGCUCCACGCGAGAAAGAUGCGUACGUGCACAUCGUAUGCAAAAGUUAUAGCCGUUUUACUUUUUCAUAACACUUUUUUGCAAAACAUGUCAAAAUUUAUGUUUUUGAAUUUUCCUAACUAAUAGAUGUAGUAACAUAAAUACAUCUCGAAGGAUUUUAAUUUUUGAAGUUUUUAUCAUUUCUUUUCUUUUUUCAAAACUAAAAUGGCGAUAGGGGGGGGGCAGCAUAAUGGACGAAGGCGGGGGUAACAUGUCGGAUGCGAUCAUACCAGCACUAAAGCACCGGAUCCCAUCAGAACUCCGAAGUUAAGCGUGCUUGGGCGAGAGUAGUACUAGGAUGGGUGACCUCCUGGGAAGUCCUCGUGUUGCAUUCCC
Molecule: ribosomal RNA, 389 nt
Filed under: Hordeum intercedens
Lineage: Eukaryota; Viridiplantae; Streptophyta; Magnoliopsida; Poales; Poaceae
Source: RNAcentral